CGACAAGUCAUUAUGAGGGGAUGUGUUCUUCUGUUCAUUUUACUCUUGGCUGGUCUUACCUCAGGUGAUUCUCACAAGAGAAUCCUUGGAGGGGAACCUUGCAAUGACAAUUAUGCUAAGCACUAUGUGAAACUCAAGGUCACUAGAUGGAUGGACGCUUUAGAAAAUUGCUGUCACGAGAAUGUGGUGGCUGUCUUAUUCAUCUUACAGCUGAGCACUGCACUAGCUUUGGGAGUACUAUAACAGCGACACUGGGUGCACAUCCAGGUGGAACACCUAAACCAGAAGAGGUCCAGAUUCCUGAUGAAACAUUAUAUAGAAAGACCAGUCAUGACAUCAUGCUGCUGAAGCUGCCUAAGGCAUACCCUCAGUUCACUACCAUUCAGCUUCCUCCCUCUACAUGCAAGACACCUGAGUUGAAGGAGAAUGUGAGAAUUGCAGGCUGGAGUUACACAGAAGAUGAUACAAAGCCAGAGAAACUACAGUGUUAAAAAUCAAGAGACCUCCAAGUCACUGAGUGUGACACCACAACGGAUGCUGAGAUUAAUAUUCAAAUGUGAUUCUGAGCAGCAUGGAAGAUAGACGCCUGCCAUGUUAGACUGAUUUCAAUUGACACGCUUACAAUUCCCUGCCUAGUUCCAUAUCAUUUCUGCCCCAAAAAUAACAGUGGCGGGUGACUAACUUAUUACAUUUCCUUUACAGUAAAAGUCAAUCGAACAACCUUCAUAAGCUUUUAUCAUUACUUUACCAAAUGAAGAGUCUAUUACUGAAUAAUGUGAUUAGUGCUGU
Long non-coding RNA from Salvelinus sp. IW2-2015, 789 nucleotides. RefSeq lists it as uncharacterized. Lineage: Eukaryota; Metazoa; Chordata; Actinopteri; Salmoniformes; Salmonidae. The record is from RefSeq and is a predicted model, not a curated record.